UCAAGAUGUAUCUUUCGUGCAGAUGUAUCAAGAUGUACCUUUCACUUAAGAUCCAUGCAGGCACAAGCUUUGGAUGAACUUCUGCUUCUGCGGUCAGCAUUCUUACAGGAGAACCCAAGAUUCACUGUACCUGUAUGCAUUUCAAAACUGAAUAAUUGAUAGCAACAAGUCAAUAUUUGAAGUUGCAGCCAAAUGCUGUGCCUUCUCUGCUGCAAGAGCUACAUGUCACCAUUGAAGCAAGGACCAGCUCGACUCCUGCAGUAGGAGUCCAGCCUCGUCCAGUCGUCGCCGCUCGCCAAGA
Molecule: long non-coding RNA, 301 nt
Organism: Amphibalanus amphitrite
Lineage: Eukaryota; Metazoa; Arthropoda; Thecostraca; Balanomorpha; Balanidae
Exons: 3
Source: RefSeq, a predicted model, not a curated record